UUAAGUUCAGCGGGUAGUCUCACCCGAUUUGAGGUCAAGGUUUUUAAGGUCGAGUGGUGACUCGAACGUUGUCUUCAUUCGAAGACGGUUAGAAGCGGGGCACAGUGCAAAACCCAAGACGUAGAAACGUUACUUAUCACGUCGAGGAUCGGCAAAGCGGACCCCACUAAUUCAUUUGGGAGGAGCUGGCUUCAAGGGAG
Molecule: unclassified non-coding RNA, 200 nt
Filed under: Russula sp.
Lineage: Eukaryota; Fungi; Basidiomycota; Agaricomycetes; Russulales; Russulaceae
Description: partial internal transcribed spacer 2
Source: RNAcentral